RNAcentral lists this long non-coding RNA (2894 nucleotides) under Capra hircus (goat). RNAcentral describes it as "lncRNA (ENSCHIG00000002143.1)". Lineage: Eukaryota; Metazoa; Chordata; Mammalia; Artiodactyla; Bovidae. The record is from RNAcentral.
GAAAUUGAGGAGAAAUAGGUGAACAGCGAAAUAAUUGAGGGCAAGUUGUGCAUUUGAAUCAACAACCCUACGCAGUAAAACUUAUUCUCCUUAUUUCACAGAUGAAGAAACUAAGGCUUGGAGAGCCUGAGCGGGUUGUGCAAGACUGCAUUGUGAUCAGCACGAUGAAAGGUAAAUCUCGACUCCAAAGUCGAGCUCUUACCAUUAGGUUAUGAGGCACCACUGAGGGUCUGGCUGGAAAUGGGUCAUAACUUUGCGGAGGUUUCUUUGAUGGGUGGAAUUGCCCCUCUGGCCUCAGGUUUCUCACCUUUCAGAUGAAGGCUUUGCAGCAGGUGGGUUCUCCAUGAGAAACAAACAAAUAAAAGGUCUUUGAACGGAGAGGCUGAGUGGGGUGCCUCUCACGCAGGACUGGAACCAUCUGACCACUGGUCUCUGUCCCUCAGGAGGGCAGACCUUUCUGUAUCACACAGCGCUAACACUCAGCCAGAAGACGGUGGCCUCUCUAGACCUGACAUGAAAUGAAAGGUCCCGAGCUGGGUGAGGGCCGGGGCAGGGGAUCAAAACAGUGAAGGGAACAAACCCAUAAUAAAGCUGGCCUUCCUUCAGGCAGAAACUGCAAGGUGCAGACGGGCCUCUCCGGAAUUCUCCCUGCAUGGACUGGAAGGGGUGGCCUGAGCCCUCCUCCCAGGCAGCACAUCUCUGCCCUCAAUUAUCCACCUCCACUCAGUGUCGAGCCUGGGCACGCGCCAGGAGGGCUUUCCAAUACCUGUGGACGGGUUCGUGAUUCAUCCAGCACUCAGAGACAAGCUGCUGCCUGGCACCCAGGUUCUUCUUGGCACCAGAGAGUCAACGAACUAGAGCACCAGAUGUCCUCACACACCGCUGGUGUUUUAGUGAGGAGGACAGAUUAUAAGGAAGAAAACCCAAGAACACGUCAUAAAUUCAAUAAUGGUUUGUUACAAGGAGAAUUAAUCCAGGUGUUACAGGAGUGAGUGACUGGGUGGAAAACAGCAAAGAAGAUGGACAGACAAAACCUGAAUAAUGAGGAAGUUGGGUAUAAGCCUUGGCACUGUCCCUUCAUGUCUGUGUGAUCUCCAGCAAGAUUCAAACCUCGCUGGGCUUCAGUGUCUUCUUUUGUGAAAUGAGGGUAUUAAUGGUAUCUACCUUUUAGGGCUAGCACCAAGAAGUAAAUUAGUUAAUAUGUGUAAAUGAGUCCGUGUAUGUCUGGCCCAUUGUGAAAACUCAGUAAGUAUCAUCUCUUAUUAAGACAUGUUCCUCUUAGGAGUGUCCUUGUGCAUAUCUACAAAUUGGAGGCUCUGAGAAGUCCUUCAUUAAAACCUUACUGAACUUGUUUGGUUUACAUUUGCCAAACUUACUUUUUUCAUGACAUUCCCUCAUGAAUGUUCAGGAAACCAAAGCUCCUUAGAACACAUUUUAAAAACAGCUUUGCUGCUGCUAAGUCGCUUCAGUCGCGUCCGACUCUGUGCGACUCCAUAGAUGACAGCCCACCAGGCUCUGCUGUCCCUGGGAUUCUCCAGGCAAGAACACUGAAGUGGGUUGCCAUUUCCUUCUCCAAUGAAUGCAAGUGAAAAGUGAAAGUGAAGUCACUGAGUCGUGUCCAACUCUCAGCGACCCCAUGGACUACAGCCUACCAGGCUCCUCUGUCCAUGGGAUUUUCUAGGUAAGAGUACUGGAGUGGGGUGCCAUUGCCUUCUCUGAAAAACAGCUUUAUUGAGCUAUAAUUCACAUAUAAAAUUUGCCCUUUUAAAGGGUGCAAUUCAAUAGUUUCUGUAGCAUAUUUGCAGAGUGUGCUAUCGUCAUCAGAAUCUAACUUUAGAACAUUUUUGUCCCUCUCAAAAGAAACCUGCAUCUACCAGCAGUGAUUCCUCAUUUUUCUCUUUCCCCAGCCCAAAUAACCACUAAUCUGCUACCGUCUUUAUAGAUUUGCCUGUUCUUCACAAUUCAUAUAAGUGGAAUCAUACAUUAAGUGCCCUUUUGUGACUCAUUGCUUUCAUUCAGCAUAAUGUUUUCAAAGUUCACUCACAUCAUGGCAUGUAUCUGUGUUUCAUCCCUUUCUGUAGCCAAAACUAUUUCACUGUAUGGACAUACCACAUUUUAUUUAUCCAUUUAUUAGGUGAUGAACUUCCAUUGUUUCCACUUUUAUGAAGAAUGCCACUGCAAACAUUCCUGCAGAUGAACAUUUUGUGGAUGUAUGUUUUCAUUUCUUUUGGGUGUAUACCUGGGAGUGAAAUAACUGGGUCAUGAGAUAGCUGUUUAGCAUUUGGCAAAAAAAAAAAAAGCACUCGUUUUGGUGUGUUGGUGCUGUUGUUUUGUUUUCUCUGUCAUUUUCCUUCCUCUUCCUCCCCACUACCGCCACCCUCCCAACACUUCCCACCAUCUAGGGAGCAGGUCAGAACUUUGCCACUUCCAAGCUAUGUGUGAUUUUGAGCAAGUGAAAUUUAUGUUUCUCAGAACCUCCAUUUUCUCACCUAUAAAAUGGACAUAAAGAUGAAAUGAGGUUAUUUAUGUAACAUUCUUACACUAGUGUCUGGCCAUCAGUGGUAGCUGUAUUCUUGUUAGUAGCAUCUGUGCAUGUGCUGGUGAGAUCUUACCAGUAUAAGCAUUAUAUGUUGGUAGAUGUGAUUGUAAACAGUGUCAUAACCAGGAGUCCUGUGCUUGCCUCCCAGGAGGGAGAAGGACAGGCUCAUCCUCACCUCCACUUGAUUCCGCCAAAUGAAUCUCUAAGGUGAUUGCAUUGAUGUGCACUGUCAGUGGAAGCCUCACUCACUCACAUCCUUGCCAACCUUUGGGCAUGUUUCAGCAUUCUUUACUUUUUGCCACCUUAUGGUUUUGAUGUGGAUACCAGGCACCUUACCUGGACUGUUUCAUUCAGC